Molecule: ribosomal RNA, 468 nt
Filed under: uncultured bacterium
Lineage: Bacteria
Description: partial 16S ribosomal RNA
Rfam family: Bacterial small subunit ribosomal RNA
Source: RNAcentral
GACGAACGCUGGCGGCGUGCUUAACACAUGCAAGUCGAACGGAAAGGCCCUGCUUUUGUGGGGUGCUCGAGUGGCGAACGGGUGAGUAACACGUGAGUAACCUGCCCUUGACUUUGGGAUAACUUCAGGAAACUGGGGCUAAUACCGGAUAGGAGCUCCUGCUGCAUGGUGGGGGUUGGAAAGUUUCGGUGGUUGGGGAUGGUCUCGCGGCUUAUCAGCUUGUUGGUGGGGUAGUGGCUUACCAAGGCUUUGACGGGUAGCCGGCCUGAGAGGGUGGCCGGCCACAUUGGGACUGAGAUACGGCCCAGACUCCUACGGGAGGCAGCAGUGGGGAAUAUUGCACAAUGGGCGGAAGCCUGAUGCAGCAACGCCGCGUGCGGGAUGACGGCCUUCGGGUUGUAAACCGCUUUCGCCUGUGACGAAGCGUGAGUGACGGUAAUGGGUAAAGAAGCACCGGCUAACUACGUG